UCCCUGGUGGUCCAGGGGUUAGCACUUGGUGCUUUCACUGCCAAGGGCCCGGGUUCAAUCCCUGGUUGGGGAA
RNAcentral lists this transfer RNA (73 nucleotides) under Bos taurus (domestic cattle). It matches the Rfam family "tRNA". Rfam says of the family: Transfer RNA (tRNA) molecules are approximately 80 nucleotides in length. Their secondary structure includes four short double-helical elements and three loops (D, anti-codon, and T loops). The record is from Rfam by way of RNAcentral. Lineage: Eukaryota; Metazoa; Chordata; Mammalia; Artiodactyla; Bovidae. RNAcentral also lists the same sequence under 5 other names.